This 450-nucleotide ribosomal RNA is filed under the name uncultured bacterium. RNAcentral's name for it is "bacterial SSU rRNA". It matches the Rfam family "Bacterial small subunit ribosomal RNA", at positions 354 to 796 of the family's 1533-position model. The record is from RNAcentral.
GUGGGGAAUAUUGGACAAUGGGCGAAAGCCUGAUCCAGCCAUGCCGCGUGUGUGAAGAAGGUCUUCGGAUUGUAAAGCACUUUAAGUUGGGAGGAAGGGCAGUAAGUUAAUACCUUGCUGUUUUGACGUUACCGACAGAAUAAGCACCGGCUAACUUCGUGCCAGCAGCCGCGGUAAUACGAAGGGUGCAAGCGUUAAUCGGAAUUACUGGGCGUAAAGCGCGCGUAGGUGGUUUUGUAAGUUGGAGGUGAAAUCCCCGGGCUCAACCUGGGAACUGCAUCCAAAACUGCAUGACUAGAGUACGGUAGAGGGUAGUGGAAUUUCCUGUGUAGCGGUGAAAUGCGUAGAUAUAGGAAGGAACACCAGUGGCGAAGGCGACUACCUGGACUGAUACUGACACUGAGGUGCGAAAGCGUGGGGAGCAAACAGGAUUAGAAACCCUAGUAGUCC